CGGCAGCAUGUUCUAACUUCGGUUAGAAUGAUGGCGAGUGGCGGAGGGUGAGUAACGCGUAGGAAUCUACCUGAGAGUGGGGGAUAACUCGAGGAAACUCGAGCUAAUACCGCAUAAUCUCUACGGAGCAAAGCUGGGGACCUUUUAGGCCUGGCACUUUCAGAUGAGCCUGCGUCAGAUUAGCUAGUUGGUGGGGUAAAGGCCUACCAAGGCGACGAUCUGUAGCUGAUUUGAGAGGAUGAUCAGCCACACUGGGACUGAGACACGGCCCAGACUCCUACGGGAGGCAGCAGUGGGGAAUUUUGGACAAUGGGCGAAAGCCUGAUCCAGCAAUGCCGCGUGUGCGAUGAAGGCCUUCGGGUUGUAAAGCACUUUCAGUUGUGAAGAAAUGUAUGUAGUUAACAGCUACGUAAGCUGACGUUAACAACAAAAGAAGCACCGGCUAACUCUGUGCCAGCAGCCGCGGUAAUACAGAGGGUGCGAGCGUUAAUCGGAAUUACUGGGCGUAAAGAGCGCGUAGGUGGUCUACUAAGUCAUGUGUGAAAGCCCCGAGCUUAACUUGGGAAUUGCACGUGAUACUGGUAGUCUAGAGUAUGAUAGAGGAAAGCAGAAUUUCUAGUGUAGAGGUGAAAUUCGUAGAUAUUAGAAAGAAUACCAAUUGCGAAGGCAGCUUUCUGGAUCAUUACUGACACUGAGGAACGAAAGCAUGGGUAGCGAAGAGGAUUAGAUACCCUCGUAGUCCAUGCCGUAAACGAUGUGUGUUAGACGUUGGAAAUUUAUUUUCAGUGUCGCAGGGAAACCGAUAAACACACCGCCUGGGGAGUACGACCGCAAGGUUAAAACUCAAAUGAAUUGACGGGGACCCGCACAAGUAGUGGAGCAUGUGGUUUAAUUCGAAGAUACGCGCAGAACCUUACCAACACUUGACAUGUUCGUCGCGACUCUAAGAGAUUAGAGUUUUCGGUUCGGCCGGACGAAACACAGGUGCUGCAUGGCUGUCGUCAGCUCGUGUCGUGAGAUGUUGGGUUAAGUCCCGCAACGAGCGCAACCCUCACUUUUAGUUGCCAUCAUUAAGUUGGGCACUCUGAAAGAACUGCCAGUGAUAAGCUGGAGGAAGGUGGGGAUGACGUCAAGUCCUCAUGGCCCUUACGUGUUGGGCUACACACGUGCUACAAUGGUAUCUACAACAGGAAGCAAGACUGCGAAGUUAAGCAAAUCCCUAAAAGAUACCUCAGUUCGGAUUGCACUCUGCAACUCGAGUGCAUGAAGCUGGAAUUACUAGUAAUCGUGGAUCAGCGUGCCACGGUGAAUGCGUUCCCGGGUCUUGUACACACCGCCCGUCACACCAUGGGAGUUGGUUCUACCUUAAGGCAAGGUUCAAACCC
RNAcentral lists this ribosomal RNA (1385 nucleotides) under uncultured bacterium. Its description in RNAcentral is "partial 16S ribosomal RNA". It matches the Rfam family "Bacterial small subunit ribosomal RNA", at positions 67 to 1441 of the family's 1533-position model. The record is from RNAcentral.